GCUGUGAUCGUAUAGUGGUUAGUAGAUUGCGUUGUGGCCGCAAUAAUUGCCAAGGUUCGAAUCCUGGUCACGGCC
Molecule: transfer RNA, 75 nt
Filed under: Paramuricea clavata
Lineage: Eukaryota; Metazoa; Cnidaria; Anthozoa; Malacalcyonacea; Plexauridae
Rfam family: tRNA
About the family: Transfer RNA (tRNA) molecules are approximately 80 nucleotides in length. Their secondary structure includes four short double-helical elements and three loops (D, anti-codon, and T loops).
Source: Rfam by way of RNAcentral